This 1370-nucleotide ribosomal RNA is filed under the name Escherichia coli. RNAcentral describes it as "partial 23S ribosomal RNA". It matches the Rfam family "Bacterial large subunit ribosomal RNA", at positions 372 to 1747 of the family's 2925-position model. The record is from RNAcentral. Lineage: Bacteria; Pseudomonadati; Pseudomonadota; Gammaproteobacteria; Enterobacterales; Enterobacteriaceae.
CCCGUACACAAAAAUGCACAUAUUGUGAGCUCGAUGAGUAGGGCGGGACACGUGGUAUCCUGUCUGAAUAUGGGGGGACCAUCCUCCAAGGCUAAAUACUCCUGACUGACCGAUAGUGAACCAGUACCGUGAGGGAAAGGCGAAAAGAACCCCGGCGAGGGGAGUGAAAAAGAACCUGAAACCGUGUACGUACAAGCAGUGGGAGCACGCUUAGGCGUGUGACUGCGUACCUUUUGUAUAAUGGGUCAGCGACUUAUAUUCUGUAGCAAGGUUAACCGAAUAGGGGAGCCGAAGGGAAACCGAGUCUUAACUGGGCGUUAAGUUGCAGGGUAUAGACCCGAAACCCGGUGAUCUAGCCAUGGGCAGGUUGAAGGUUGGGUAACACUAACUGGAGGACCGAACCGACUAAUGUUGAAAAAUUAGCGGAUGACUUGUGGCUGGGGGUGAAAGGCCAAUCAAACCGGGAGAUAGCUGGUUCUCCCCGAAAGCUAUUUAGGUAGCGCCUCGUGAAUUCAUCUCCGGGGGUAGAGCACUGUUUCGGCAAGGGGGUCAUCCCGACUUACCAACCCGAUGCAAACUGCGAAUACCGGAGAAUGUUAUCACGGGAGACACACGGCGGGUGCUAACGUCCGUCGUGAAGAGGGAAACAACCCAGACCGCCAGCUAAGGUCCCAAAGUCAUGGUUAAGUGGGAAACGAUGUGGGAAGGCCCAGACAGCCAGGAUGUUGGCUUAGAAGCAGCCAUCAUUUAAAGAAAGCGUAAUAGCUCACUGGUCGAGUCGGCCUGCGCGGAAGAUGUAACGGGGCUAAACCAUGCACCGAAGCUGCGGCAGCGACGCUUAUGCGUUGUUGGGUAGGGGAGCGUUCUGUAAGCCUGCGAAGGUGUGCUGUGAGGCAUGCUGGAGGUAUCAGAAGUGCGAAUGCUGACAUAAGUAACGAUAAAGCGGGUGAAAAGCCCGCUCGCCGGAAGACCAAGGGUUCCUGUCCAACGUUAAUCGGGGCAGGGUGAGUCGACCCCUAAGGCGAGGCCGAAAGGCGUAGUCGAUGGGAAACAGGUUAAUAUUCCUGUACUUGGUGUUACUGCGAAGGGGGGACGGAGAAGGCUAUGUUGGCCGGGCGACGGUUGUCCCGGUUUAAGCGUGUAGGCUGGUUUUCCAGGCAAAUCCGGAAAAUCAAGGCUGAGGCGUGAUGACGAGGCACUACGGUGCUGAAGCAACAAAUGCCCUGCUUCCAGGAAAAGCCUCUAAGCAUCAGGUAACAUCAAAUCGUACCCCAAACCGACACAGGUGGUCAGGUAGAGAAUACCAAGGCGCUUGAGAGAACUCGGGUGAAGGAACUAGGCAAAAUGGUGCCGUAACUUCGGGAGAAGGC